AGUCACUGACAUUAGAUACCCGCGUAGUCCAGGGUGUAAACGCUGCAGACUUGGUGUUGGAAGCCCUUUGGGGGCAUUCAGUGCCGGAGAGAAGUUGUUAAGUCUGCUACUUGGGGAGUACGUCCGCAAGGAUGAAACUUAAAGGAAUUGGCGGGGGAGCACCGCAACGGGAGGAGCGUGCGGUUUAAUUGGAUUCAACACCGUAAAACUCACCAGGGAAGACUGUUACAUGAAGGCCGAGAUGAAGACUCUGCUAGAUUUUUCAG
RNAcentral lists this ribosomal RNA (266 nucleotides) under uncultured archaeon. RNAcentral's name for it is "partial 16S ribosomal RNA". It matches the Rfam family "Archaeal small subunit ribosomal RNA", at positions 716 to 982 of the family's 1478-position model. The record is from RNAcentral.